Salvia miltiorrhiza (redroot sage) is the source of this 532-nucleotide long non-coding RNA. RefSeq lists it as uncharacterized. The record is from RefSeq and is a predicted model, not a curated record. The transcript is spliced from 2 exons. NCBI's taxonomy places the organism in Eukaryota, Viridiplantae, Streptophyta, Magnoliopsida, Lamiales, Lamiaceae.
ACCGAGUUGCCGGAGGCAUUGGUGGUUGAAGAAGAGGAAGAGUCGGUGACCGGUGCAGAGGAAGAGGCGAAAAUAAAAGCACCACCUCCCUAUCGAUUCCAACGCAUUGUAGACUGAUUCACCAAAAUCUAUUUUCCCAUUAUGAAACGGCCCACAAACGAGUGACUGUGAGCCGCCCAAGGUUGAAUUUGGUGCCGACUUGCUUCAUCUUGCCAUAUGUCGAUUUUCCAUCCUUCGAGUUUUGAAGAAGAAACUGCACCACCGCCAUCUUUUCCUCAUCUUGAAGAUCUUUCAAAUGCAUUCUGCCACUGUUCAGCCUUGAAGAAUUUCAGAUUAUAAGUUCUAGUUUAGGUUGUAUAAUUUGUAGUGUUAGUUUGAUGGAUAUAUAUAGAGCUAAAGGCUGAAUUUCAAAGCCUUAAAUUUGGCGCCAUAAAGUUUUAGCCUAUGAAUUAUGUAAUCUAGCGCAAAUUUUUUCAACUCCAAAUGUGAACAAAAUCUUGGGUUUAUAAUUUAAAUUGUCGCCAAUUUUUCA